This 253-nucleotide ribosomal RNA is filed under the name uncultured bacterium. RNAcentral describes it as "partial 16S ribosomal RNA". It matches the Rfam family "Bacterial small subunit ribosomal RNA", at positions 524 to 776 of the family's 1533-position model. The record is from RNAcentral.
UACGUAGGGGGCGAGCGUUGUCCGGAUUUACUGGGCGUAAAGCGCGCGUCGGCGGUACUCUAAGUCCGGGGUGAAAGGCGGGGGCUCAACCCCCGAGCGGCGCCGGAAACUGGAGGGCUUGAGUGUCGGAGAGGGGAGUGGAAUUCUCGGUGUAGCGGUGAAAUGCGUAGAGAUCGAGAGGAACACCCGUGGCGAAGGCGGCUCCCUGGCCGAACACUGACGCUGAGACGCGAAAGCGUGGGGAGCGAACGGG